This is a long non-coding RNA of Chelonia mydas (Green sea turtle), 2434 nucleotides long. RefSeq lists it as uncharacterized. The transcript has 2 exons. Lineage: Eukaryota; Metazoa; Chordata; Testudines; Cheloniidae. The record is from RefSeq and is a predicted model, not a curated record.
ACCAAGCCCCCUGCCAUGGCGGGGGCACAGCCCCGGCUCCAGAGCUGGUCACAACUGCAGGACAGGGGUGUGCGGCCCAGCUGCAGCCCUCAGCAGAAACCGCAGGGCUAGAGCUGCAGGGUCCUGGUUCCAGCCAGCCCCAGUUUUAGGGCAGGGGCGCACAGUCCCAGCUCUGCCUCCUGAAGCCGUAGAAGUCAUGGAGGCCCGGUAAAGUCACGGAAUCCAUGACUGCUGUGACCUCCGUGACUAAAUUGUAGCCUUACUCAUCACUGAUCUCUGCCCUGCCCGCCAGCAGUAAACAGGAAUAAACACAGACAGAAGCAAUUAAAAACACUCAGGGACACACAUUGAUCCUUGGUGUAACUCUACUGACUUCAGCAGAGUCACACCAGGCUGGGAUUUGGCCUGUUGACUCAUGUAAAAGAUUUUCCAUUCACUCCCACCAACUAUAAGGCAAAAGAAAUUAUUGAUAAAACAUCUUAAACAGAAUUUCCAAAAAAGGAUCAAUGACUCUCCAACAAGAGAUGCAGUUCUGACACAUCUGAUGACAUAGGUCAAGACACAGAAAAUGCAGCUCACCAUUGGACCAAAUGGGAAACCAGCCAGUUACAAACUGGUAAGGGAAGUUCCCUGCAUAAACCAAACAAGCCCACUAUUAGCUCUCAGAAAUAAAUGAAAAAUCAGAGCUGUGUGAGGGGGCUCAUUUUAAUCUGACCCCCGGUGAGUUCUCGGUGCCUUUGAAACAUCCACUACUUUGGUUUGUUGUUUUAAGUGUAAUGUCCCAGCCAGGAUUUAUGCACUUGCUUACCUUUGCAGGCUGUGAGUUGCUCCACUGAUUUCCUUGGGGUAAUUCACAGUGCAUAGAGUUAAGCAUGGGCGGGACUGGGGCCUAACUGUUUGAGUUUGACUAGCUAGGUGUCUUGUGCAUAGGGGGAAAUCAGGAGCAGAAAUGAUAUAAACUCAUGUCAACUGAUGGUAUAUCAGUGCUAACUGCCUGUGAUGGGGUGUUCACCCCACACCAACUCUGAGAGAUUAAAAUGGUACAGAUAGGUCAAAUUAACCCUGCAGGCCACACCUGGUGGAGAGUGGGCUUGAUUGAAAAUGACUAAUGGCUGAUGGGGAGGGGUGACUAAGGUAUACAGCUAGGAAGUUUGUGGUAGAAAGGGGCUGUAGUGUGGAAGGUGGUAGUUAACCUAUGGGUUAAAGAGGGAAAAGAAAGAAACCUAGAGAGAGAAGCCCUAGGAUCCUGGCCCUGAAGGUAGGGUUUACCCAGAAGCAUGGAGAAGAAAGCCUGUGGGAGGUGUAGUAGGAAGGAGCCCAGGGAAGGAAAAUCAAGGUGAAGGAUUGUGCAGACCUUGGCUGCAGAUUAUAGGGUCCCUGGACUAGAACCUAGAGUAGCAAGUGGGCCUGGGUUCCCCUACCAGCUGCUGGGAAGUGGCACAGGAUUGUGGGAGAUAUCACCUUGCCAGCUGGUCCGGAGGGACUCUGUUGUCCCUGAAGGGGAGGACUAUAGUGACCUGCCUGGAGGGCUGAGUCACGAAGAGGGAGUAACCUGAGUCCAGAGGCCAAGCCUAUGGGGUGAGCAGCCAAAGGAGGGGGCAUCAGACUGGAUGAGAGCUAAUCCCUGGAUGAGACUCAAGGAGGCAUCUCUGCGUCAGAUUUUUGGAGGACAAUGUGGAUGCUCCAACAUUUAAAGGUCUCAGAACAUAAUAUGGUCACAAAUCCAUGAAGCCCUGGUUGUCGUAUCUGUGCAGAUGAAUAACCAAGGUGUGUAGUUUCUGCAAUGAGAUGUCCCAACUGGCCAUCUGUGCACGCAGCUAGGGUAGCGCACACGGGCACACAACUGCUAACUGAUUCAAAGGGAUCAAAUGUGCAUGUGCACACUUAUGCCUGUGCAUGUGUGAAAAUCUGGGCCUAAAACCCCUGCUAACAACCCCUGCCGAUUUUCAUUCAGCUGUAGGGAUGGCAGCUCUCAGCAACACAGCAGCAUAGGAGCAGCUGCUCAGAGGGAGGAGUUAGACAACGAGAAACAGCUGUUUAGUCCUUUCAAAUCCACGCAGGAAGGACAACAUGAGUGCAUUGUAAACUGGUUCCAAGAGAGACACUGAGCGAUGAAAGGCAGCUAGACUGAUAUUAUUCAUCAGAGUCUUCCAGUAUGAAGAAAUCAACAUCGCUGUGAUCCAAGCCUCACUCAUUCUCCCAGAGAGAAGUGAUCACUGAGGGAUUACCCUUCUGCUCUGGGAGUCUACCAGCUCCUACUACACAAUAAAAGAAGGGGUUUCCCUUCAUUCAAAUAUUCCAGUAGCAAAAUGUAUUUAAAUGUGAAAACCGUGUUAACUGAAAGAAUUAUGCAAAUUAAAAAGCAUGUAAAGUAAUUUUAUAUCUAUGCAUGGAAUGCAAACUGUAUAUUUUAUUAAAGAUCUAAGUGACCCAC